Long non-coding RNA from Cucumis melo (muskmelon), 351 nucleotides. RefSeq lists it as uncharacterized. Lineage: Eukaryota; Viridiplantae; Streptophyta; Magnoliopsida; Cucurbitales; Cucurbitaceae. The transcript has 4 exons. The record is from RefSeq and is a predicted model, not a curated record.
CUCCACUUCGGGUCACGGUGAGUCUUCGGUAAUAGGGGUUUGACGCUCAAGUUCACGGUCCCACGGCAAGUUCAUUUGGGAAUAGCUCCCUUUACUCGGGUGGAUCUGUUGAGCGUGGACUCGAUCGAGGGGCAUAACCAAGUAUCAGGUAAGGGUACAGCGAGGGGCAGACCGACGAGGGGCAAGAAGGAUGCGUGAAGGCCAUAUGGACGCGUCUGGUUUUCUUUAUGCUUCCGCUGAUGUAUUUUGUUAGAAUAUUUGGUUUUGUGAUUUUGAGUUUGAUGACUUGAGUAUUGUAUUUGAAACUCUCGUGACUGUGAUUUAAAAUAGGGCCCGAAACUGCUUUUGUAA